This is a transfer RNA of Eubacterium limosum KIST612, 78 nucleotides long. It matches the Rfam family "tRNA". From Rfam's summary of the family: Transfer RNA (tRNA) molecules are approximately 80 nucleotides in length. Their secondary structure includes four short double-helical elements and three loops (D, anti-codon, and T loops). The record is from Rfam. Lineage: Bacteria; Bacillati; Bacillota; Clostridia; Eubacteriales; Eubacteriaceae.
GGCAAGUUAAGUCAAUGGCAGACGCUUUGUAGAUUUUUCUAGCUAUAAAGAAUGGGAGUUCAAAUCUCCCUCUUGCCA